CCUACGGGAGGCAGCAGUGGGGAAUAUUGGACAAUGGGCGAAAGCCUGAUCCAGCCAUGCCGCGUGUGUGAAGAAGGCCUUCGGGUUGUAAAGCACUUUCAGUGGGGAAGAAAGCCUUGGGGCUAAUACCCUCGAGGAAGGACAUCACCCACAGAAGAAGCACCGGCUAACUCCGUGCCAGUAGCCGCGGUAAUACGGAGGGUGCGAGCGUUAAUCGGAAUUACUGGGCGUAAAGCGCGCGUAGGCGGUCUGAUAAGCCGGUUGUGAAAGCCCCGGGCUCAACCUGGGAACGGCAUCCGGAACUGUCAGGCUAGAGUGCAGGAGAGGAAGGUAGAAUUCCCGGUGUAGCGGUGAAAUGCGUAGAGAUCGGGAGGAAUACCAGUGGCGAAGGCGGCCUCUGGACUGACACUGACGCUGAGGUGCGAAAGCGUGGGUAGCAAACAGGAUUAGAUACCCGUGUAGUC
Molecule: ribosomal RNA, 464 nt
Filed under: Vreelandella stevensii
Lineage: Bacteria; Pseudomonadati; Pseudomonadota; Gammaproteobacteria; Oceanospirillales; Halomonadaceae
Description: partial 16S ribosomal RNA
Rfam family: Bacterial small subunit ribosomal RNA
Source: RNAcentral